Molecule: ribosomal RNA, 469 nt
Filed under: Xanthoria sp. Gaya 31
Lineage: Eukaryota; Fungi; Ascomycota; Lecanoromycetes; Teloschistales; Teloschistaceae
Description: partial 18S ribosomal RNA
Rfam family: Group I catalytic intron (bases 96-387)
About the family: Group I catalytic introns are large self-splicing ribozymes. They catalyse their own excision from mRNA, tRNA and rRNA precursors in a wide range of organisms. The core secondary structure consists of 9 paired regions (P1-P9).
Source: RNAcentral
UUCUUGGUCAUUUAGAGGAAGUAAAAGUCGUAACAAGGUUUUGGCGAGUCUGGAAGAUCCUUCCGCAGUGACACUCACAGAAGCCUUUUGCAGCCUUUAAGAGGUCUGCCCUAAGCGACUAUAAACAAUAUGGGGCUCCGAAUUUCAGUUUUGAGAUUUCGUGCAGUACUUUCGAAUUGCGGGGAUGCCCUAAAGCUCUACUCCAUCUGAAUGUCAGAUUUGGUUCUAUCGAGUAUGAGAUAGCGAUCGCUGUUACCAGCAUCAUGAUGGGCUAUCCGCAUCCAACUCUUGCGGAGGAAUCGCUCCAGAGUCGGUUCACAGACUAAGUGGAAGUGGUGGCCGUCAAAGCUACUCAAGAUAUAGUCGGGCCUGAGGGGAAACUCUUGGGGGAAGUCACUCGACCCACAAUUUCAGGAAUGUGGGCGAUGGAAAAUAACGUUCCGUAGGUGAACCUGCGGAAGGAUCAUUA